GGUUCGAUCAUGGCUCAGAUUGAAUCGCUGGCGGGAUGCUUUACACAUGCAAGUCGUAGCGUCCGGCAGCACGGACUUCGGUCUGGUGGCGAGUGGCGAACGCAGAGUAAUGUAUCGGAACGUGCCCAGUAGCGGGGGAUAACUACGCGAAAGCGUAGCCAAUACUCGCAGCUACGCCCUUCGGGGGAAAAGGACCUUCGGGCCUCGCACUAUUAGAGCGGGGCUGAUAUCGGAUUAGCUAGUUGGUGGGGUAACGGCUCACCAAGUACACCGAUCCAGAAGCUGGUUUGAGAGGACGACCAGCCACACUGGGACUGCGAUGCCAGCCCAGACUCCUACGGAGGCAGCAGUGGGGAAUUUUGGACAAUGGGGAAACCCUGAUCCAGCCAUCCUGCGCGCGAUGAAGGCCUUCGGGGUUGGUAAAAAGCACUUUUGGCAGGAAAGAAACGGCACGGGAUAAUACCCCGUGCAACUGACGGUACCUGCAGAAUAAGCACCGGCUAAUCACGCACAGCAGCCGCGGUAAUACGAAAAAGUAAGCUAAGACCGGAAUUACUGGGCGUAAAGCGUGCGCAGGCGGUUCGGAAAGAAAGAUGUGAAAAUCCCAGAGCUAACUUUUGGAACUGCAUUUUUAACUACCGAGCCAGAGUGUGUCAGAGGGAGGUGGAAUUCGUGCAGGCGGAAUGCGUAGAUAUGCGGAGGAACACCGAUGGCGAAGGCAGCCUCCCUGGGAUAACACUGACGCUCAUGCACGGCGGAGCAAACAGGAUUAGAUACUCCUGGUAGUCCACGCCCUAAACGAGCGCGACCAUGUUGGGGCCUUUCGCCUUGGUAGCGCAGGUGCUGAACGCAAACGUAAAGUUGACCGCCUGGGGAGUACGGUCGCAAGAUUAAAACUCAAAGGAAUUGACGGGGACCCGCACAAGCGGUGUGGAUGAUGAUUAAUCUGAUGCAACCGCGAAAACUCACUCUACCCUUGACAUGUCUGAACCUGAAGAGAUUUGGGGAUGUGCUCGCAAGAGAACCGGAACACAGGUGCUGUAUGGCUGUCGUCAGCUCGUGUCGAGAUGUUGGGUUAAGUCCCAACGAGCGCAACCCUUGUCAUUAUUGCUACGGAAAGGGCGACUCUAAUGAGAUCACAGACAAACCGAGGCGUGGGGAUGACGUCAAGUCUCAUGGCCCUAUGGGUAGGGCUUCACACGUCAUACAAUGGUCGGGACAGAGGGUCAACCUUCCAGCGAGGGGACAAUCCCAAACCGAUCGUAGUCCGGAUCGCAGUUCGCAACUCACUGGUGCGGAAGUCGGAAUCGCUAGUAAUCGCGGAUCAGCAUGUCGCGGUGAAUACGUUCCCGGGUCUUGUACACACCGCCCGUCACACCAUGGGAGUGGGUUUUACCAGAAGUAGUAGCUCAACCAAAGGGGGAGGCGAUUACCACGGUAGGAUUCAUGAUCGGGGGUGAAGUCGUAACAAGGUA
RNAcentral lists this ribosomal RNA (1475 nucleotides) under uncultured Bordetella sp. RNAcentral's name for it is "partial 16S-23S ribosomal RNA intergenic spacer". It matches the Rfam family "Bacterial small subunit ribosomal RNA". The record is from RNAcentral. Lineage: Bacteria; Pseudomonadati; Pseudomonadota; Betaproteobacteria; Burkholderiales; Alcaligenaceae.